UACGGGGGGGGCAAGCGUUGUUCGGAAUUACUGGGCGUAAAGGGCUUGUAGGUGGCCAACUAAGUCAGACGUGAAAUCCCUCGGCUUAACCGGGGAACUGCGUCUGAUACUGGAUGGCUGGAGUGUGGGAGAGGGAUGCGGAAUUCCAGGUGUAGCGGUGAAAUGCGUAGAUAUCUGCAGGAGCACCCGUGGCGAAAGCGGCGCGCUGGACCACUACUGACGCUGAGGAACGAAAGCUAGGGGAGCAAACAGG
RNAcentral lists this ribosomal RNA (253 nucleotides) under uncultured bacterium. Its description in RNAcentral is "partial 16S ribosomal RNA". It matches the Rfam family "Bacterial small subunit ribosomal RNA", at positions 524 to 776 of the family's 1533-position model. The record is from RNAcentral.